UGGGGAAUAUUGGACAAUGGGCGCAAGCCUGAUCCAGCAAUACCGCGUGAGUGAUGAAGGUCUUCGGAUUGUAAAGCUCUUUUAGUGGAGAAGAUAAUGACGGUAUCCACAGAAAAAGCACCGGCAAACUUCGUGCCAGCAGCCGCGGUAAUACGAAGGGUGCUAGCGUUGUUCGGAAUCAUUGGGCGUAAAGCGUACGUAGGCGGUUCAGUAAGUCGAUUGUGAAAGCCCCGAGCUCAACUCGGGAAUUGCAAGCGAUACUGCUUUACUAGAGUUUGGUGGGGGAUGGUGGAAUUCCUAGUGUAGGGGUGAAAUCCGUAGAUAUUAGGAGGAAUAUCGGUGGCGAAAGCGACCAUCUACGCCAAUACUGACGCUAAGGUACGAAAGCGUGGGGAGCAAA
Molecule: ribosomal RNA, 400 nt
Filed under: uncultured bacterium
Lineage: Bacteria
Description: bacterial SSU rRNA
Rfam family: Bacterial small subunit ribosomal RNA
Source: RNAcentral